UACGGGGGGGGCUAGCGUUGUUCGGAAUUACUGGGCGUAAAGGGCGCGUAGGCGGUCUGCUAAGUUGGAUGUGAAAACUCUGGGCUUAACCCAGAGCCUGCAUUCAAUACUGACAGGCUAGAGUUCUGGAAGGGAUAGCGGAAUUCCUGGUGUAGCGGUGAAAUGCGUAGAUAUCAGGAGGAACACCGGUGGCGAAGGCGGCUAUCUGGACAGAGUCUGACGCUGAGGCGCGAAAGCUAGGGGAGCAAACAGG
RNAcentral lists this ribosomal RNA (253 nucleotides) under uncultured bacterium. RNAcentral describes it as "partial 16S ribosomal RNA". It matches the Rfam family "Bacterial small subunit ribosomal RNA", at positions 524 to 776 of the family's 1533-position model. The record is from RNAcentral.